UACGGGGGGGGCAAGCGUUGUUCGGAAUUACUGGGCGUAAAGGGCUCGUAGGCGGCCAACUAAGUCAGACGUGAAAUCCCUCGGCUUAACCGGGGAACUGCGUCUGAUACUGGAUGGCUUGAGAUUGGGAGAGGGAUGCGGAAUUCCAGGUGUAGCGGUGAAAUGCGCAGAUAUCUGGAGGAACACCGGUGGCGAAGGCGACAUCCUGGACCGGUAUUGACGCUGAGGCGCGAAAGCCAGGGGAGCAAACGGG
Molecule: ribosomal RNA, 253 nt
Filed under: uncultured bacterium
Lineage: Bacteria
Description: partial 16S ribosomal RNA
Rfam family: Bacterial small subunit ribosomal RNA
Source: RNAcentral